This is a long non-coding RNA of Amphibalanus amphitrite, 760 nucleotides long. RefSeq lists it as uncharacterized. The record is from RefSeq and is a predicted model, not a curated record. Lineage: Eukaryota; Metazoa; Arthropoda; Thecostraca; Balanomorpha; Balanidae. The transcript is spliced from 2 exons.
AUCACUCUGUGUUGGAUUUUCCCAGCGGCGCACGACGUAAAGUUUGUUUACCCCGGGCUUCUGUGCCAGUCCUGCAUCUCCCGAUCAGGGGAGGGUGAUCGGUAUAAAAUCGCCCAAUGGCACACGGAGGGACAUAGCGCCUCGAGCUUUCAGCGAUCUCAGUCGUCGAAGUUGACUCUACAUAAACCUCAGCCAUGUUCCGCGCCGCCCUGCUGCUGCUGGCUGUCCUGGUCGCCGUGCUGGCGGUGGCCUGGGCUGACCCAGAGCCCGCCCCCGUCGACGAGAGCGUAGCAGUUUCCUACGUGGCCGAUAACGUGGCGCACGGCUACGUCGCAGACAACGUGGCGCACGGCUACGUCGCUGAGAACGUCGCCCAUGGCUACGCCCUGCCGUGAGCGGCCGCCGAAUGCCGCUCCAGGUCACCAUGGCCCGAGGAAAGGUUACCAGGUCAACGAGAGAGCCCACGCUGGACGCCUGGGUAAAACUGAUCAGCGACUUCGGAUUCAGACUCUCCUAGGGGUAGUUGCCAGAGGUUGAGCUCGAUCUCUAUUUUUUAGAUUGGCUUAGAGAGUGGCAACUACGGUUUUACUUAGUGAAAUGGCAGAAUCGUUCGGAUUCGAUACACUGGAUCAUAUUUUGGAGACUACUGAAAGGAAUGCACUUGCUCUGAAAAUUAACAGCGAUUAUCUAUGGGCUCAGCCGCUGCACCCAUCCUUUUAGUGCUGUGUUUUGGUGGCAUGAAUAAAAGGCAGUGAAACUC